GGGGGUGACUGGUUUCGACUCCGAGCGGUUGAUCAGGGGAAGCGUGCCGAGGAAGGCGACGAUGAUCUCGAUAACCACCCGUCGCAAAGAAAUAAGCGCCGAGAACAGUACUCAGCGCGAGUUCCAGCUCGCUGCCUAAGUAGCGAGGUUGGACUCUGUCGGCCCGGGUUCGUUCCCGACCCGGUCGCCGGCAUCAGCUAGGGGACUCCACCUCCGGGCCCGGUCGCGGGGCCCGGUGGGACAUCGAACAGCGACUGGGGUCGUCACACCGGUGUGUCUGCGCAUCCGGUGGACCCGAGCAGAGACGGAGCAGACUGCGCACGGAGAAGUCCUGACAGGUGUUCGGAGGACCCGGGUUCGAUUCCCGGCACCUCCACC
Molecule: transfer-messenger RNA, 378 nt
Filed under: Actinomycetospora sp. NBRC 106378
Lineage: Bacteria; Bacillati; Actinomycetota; Actinomycetes; Pseudonocardiales; Pseudonocardiaceae
Rfam family: transfer-messenger RNA
About the family: Bacterial tmRNA, also known as 10Sa RNA or SsrA, is named for its dual tRNA and mRNA-like properties. Its role is to liberate the mRNA from a stalled ribosome.
Source: RNAcentral